Molecule: regulatory RNA element, 120 nt
Rfam family: Histidine operon leader
About the family: At least 6 amino acid operons are known to be regulated by attenuation. In each a leader sequence of 150-200 bp is found upstream of the first gene in the operon.
Source: Rfam
UCAUCACCAGCAUCAUCCUGACUAGUCUUUCAGGCGAUGACGGCUGGAAGACGAUUAGGUCUUCCUCUGGUUUGAACGUAUAAAGCCCUCGGAAGAUCGCUCUUCCGAGGGCUUUUUUAA